CAGCAACUUGGAGGAAUGUAGUAAUGAUUAUGUCGUAUAAAGUUCUAGAUAAAAAACUGAUAAUGACAACUUUUUAUCUAUUAGUCUUGACCAAAUUACGUGCCAGCAGUCGCGGCAACACGCAGAAGACAAGUGUUAUUCAUCUUUAAUCGGUUUAAAGGGUACCUAGACGGAAAAUCAAGCCAAAGGCAAAAGUAAAGCCACAGUAGGGACUAGUUUUCUAGAGUUUAAUGAAAGAAAGUCGAAUAUCUGGAGUAGAGAGACAAUAUUUCGAUACCAGAGAGACGGGUAACGGCGUAGGCAACUUUCUAUGUAAAAACUGACGUUGAGGGACGAAGCCCUGGGUAGCGAUAAGGAUUAGAUACCCUAGUAGUCCAGGGAGACAAUGAUGAAUGCCAUAAGCUAGGUAUAUUAGUUUAUAAAUGAAAGUGUAAGCAUUCCACCUCAUGAAUAAGGCGGCAACGCAUAAAUUGAAAUCAUUAGACCGUUUCUGAAACCAGUAGUGAAGUAUGUUAUUUAAUUCGAUGAUCCGCGAAUAACCUUACCACGUUUUGUAUAUUAUUUAAUUAAUACAAGCGCUGCACGGCUGUCUUUAGUUAAUGUCGUGAGACUUUGGUUAAUUCCUUUAAUUAACGCAAACCCUUGUUUUAUUUAUAUAUAAAACAGUUCUCCGCUAUAUUGGAUAAGAUAAUAGGGAUUAAGGCAAGUCAUCAUGGCCUUUAUAACGUGGGCUAUAGACGUGCCACAUAUGCCUUCACAAAGGGAUGCAAUAUUGUGAAAUAAAGCUAAUCCUUAAAAUAGGACAUAACUAAUCGUGGAU
Molecule: ribosomal RNA, 820 nt
Filed under: Normandina pulchella
Lineage: Eukaryota; Fungi; Ascomycota; Eurotiomycetes; Verrucariales; Verrucariaceae
Description: SSU rRNA
Rfam family: Bacterial small subunit ribosomal RNA
Source: RNAcentral